GGAUCAUAAUACUUGUUGAAUAAGGAAAAGUAGUCUCCUUAAUAAUCUUUGUAACUUAGUUAUUUUCUAAGGCUUUUGACAACAGAAAUUUGAGUAAUUUAAUUUAGAUGGAAGGUGUGUAUUCUUAGUUUUCCAUUUCUUCUUUUUCUCUCUUCUUCCCUUUUUUUCCCUCUGUUGAUACAGUACCUCAGAUAUUAUUCUCAGUGCUCCCAAGCGUAACCAAUUUCUCCAUUUUGCUUACUCUAAUCAACUAUGGUUCAAUCAUUACUCAUUACAAUGAUGCAAAAUUAG
This 291-nucleotide unclassified non-coding RNA is filed under the name Hevea brasiliensis (rubber tree). The record is from RNAcentral. Lineage: Eukaryota; Viridiplantae; Streptophyta; Magnoliopsida; Malpighiales; Euphorbiaceae.